Molecule: unclassified non-coding RNA, 348 nt
Filed under: uncultured Polyporales
Lineage: Eukaryota; Fungi; Basidiomycota; Agaricomycetes; Polyporales
Description: sequence contains ITS1
Rfam family: 5.8S ribosomal RNA (bases 1-105)
Source: RNAcentral
GAAAUGCGAUAAGUAAUGUGAAUUGCAGAAUUCAGUGAAUCAUCGAAUCUUUGAACGCACCUUGCGCCCCUUGGUAUUCCGAGGGGCAUGCCUGUUUGAGUGUCAUGGUAUUCUCAAUGCCCUACAUCUUUGCGGAUGAAGGUGUAUUGGAUUUGGGGGUUUAUGUUGGCUCUCUUGAGAGUCAGCUCCUCUUAAAUGUAUUAGCAGAGAUGUUACUGCUACUCUCCAGUGUGAUAAUUGUCUACACUGUUAGUAGUGCAGUAAAAAUUAAGUCUAUGCUUCUAAUCGUCUCCGGACAGUUUUUUGACAUCUGACCUCAAAUCAGGUAGGACUACCCGCUGAACUUAA